UGGGUAGUCCGUACGAGCGCACCUUGUCCCUAGUUGCCAGCGAUUCGGUCGGGAACUCUAGGGAGACUGCCGGUGACAAACCGGAGGAAGGUGGGGAUGACGUCAAGUCCUCAUGGCCCUUAUAGGCAGGGCUACACACGUGCUACAAUGGCCGGUACAGAGGGUUGCCAAGCCGCAAGGUGGAGCUAAUCCCACAAAGCCGGUCGUAGUCCGGAUUGGAGUCUGCAACUCGACUCCAUGAAGUCGGAAUCGCUAGUAAUCGCGGAUCAGAACGCCGCGGUGAAUACGUUCCCGGGCCUUGUACACACCGCCCGUCACACCAUGGGAGUGGGCUGUACCAGAAGUAGGUAGUCUAACCUUCGGGAGGGCGCUUACCACGGUAUGGUUCAUGACUGGGGUGAAGUCGUAACAAGGUAGCCGUAGGGGAACCUGCGGCUGGAUCACCUCCUUU
Molecule: ribosomal RNA, 451 nt
Filed under: uncultured Gammaproteobacteria bacterium
Lineage: Bacteria; Pseudomonadati; Pseudomonadota; Gammaproteobacteria
Description: bacterial SSU rRNA
Rfam family: Bacterial small subunit ribosomal RNA
Source: RNAcentral